AAUCCUAUCGAUUUCAAUCUUUUUGUUUGAAGUCGGAUGUGGAUGUUGUCGCAGUUAAUGCGACUCGUCCUAAAUGCAUUAGCGAUCUGCCUCGAUCACGCUCAAUGUGAUAAGAAAAAGCAUUGUUGAGAUUGAGUCUGGGUUGCUGCCAACCGUCCAAAACUGGACAAAGCAUAUUCAUGUC
This 184-nucleotide unclassified non-coding RNA is filed under the name uncultured Geastrum. RNAcentral's name for it is "sequence contains ITS2". The record is from RNAcentral. Lineage: Eukaryota; Fungi; Basidiomycota; Agaricomycetes; Geastrales; Geastraceae.